GACGAACGCUGGCGGCGUGCUUAACACAUGCAAGUCGAACGGAAAGGCCCUGCUUGUGUGGGGUGCUCGAGUGGCGAACGGGUGAGUAAGACGUGAGUAACCUGCCCUUGACUUUGGGAUAACUUCAGGAAACUGGGGCUAAUACCGGAUAGGAGCUCCUGCUGCAUGGUGGGGGGUGGAAAGUUUCGGCGGUUGGGGAUGGACUCGCGGCUUAUCAGCUUGUUGGUGGGGUAGUGGCUUACCAAGGCUUUGACGGGUAGCCGGCCUGAGAGGGUGACCGGCCACAUUGGGCCUGAGAUACGGACCAGACUCCUACGGGAGGCAGCAGUGGGGAAUAUUGCACAAUGGGCGGAAGCCUGAUGCAGCAACGCCGCGUGCGGGAUGACGGCCUUCGGGUUGUAAACCGCUUUAGCCUGUGACGAAGCGUGAGUGACGGUAAUGGGUAAAGAAGCACCGGCUAACUACGUG
RNAcentral lists this ribosomal RNA (468 nucleotides) under uncultured bacterium. RNAcentral describes it as "partial 16S ribosomal RNA". It matches the Rfam family "Bacterial small subunit ribosomal RNA", at positions 28 to 507 of the family's 1533-position model. The record is from RNAcentral.